Molecule: ribosomal RNA, 253 nt
Filed under: uncultured bacterium
Lineage: Bacteria
Description: partial 16S ribosomal RNA
Rfam family: Bacterial small subunit ribosomal RNA
Source: RNAcentral
UACGAAGGUCCCGAGCGUUAUCCGGAUUUAUUGGGUUUAAAGGGUGCGUAGGCGGGUUAUUAAGUCAGUGGUGAAAGCCUUCAGCUUAACUGAAGAACUGCCAUUGAUACUGAUGAUCUUGAGUAUGAUUGAGGUGGGCGGAAUGUGUCAUGUAGCGGUGAAAUGCUUAGAUAUGACACAGAACACCGAUUGCGAAGGCAGCUCACUAAGCCAUAACUGACGCUGAUGCACGAAAGCGUGGGGAGCAAACAGG